Molecule: transfer RNA, 73 nt
Filed under: Stegodyphus mimosarum
Lineage: Eukaryota; Metazoa; Arthropoda; Arachnida; Araneae; Eresidae
Rfam family: tRNA
About the family: Transfer RNA (tRNA) molecules are approximately 80 nucleotides in length.
Source: Rfam by way of RNAcentral
ACCUUCGUGGUGUAAUGGUCAGUACACUCGGCGCGUAUUUGAGAAGUCUAUGGUUCGAAUCCCAGUGAGGGUA